GACGAACGCUGGCGGCGUGCUUAACACAUGCAAGUCGAACGGUAAGGCCCCUUCGGGGGUACACGAGUGGCGAACGGGUGAGUAACACGUGAGCAACCUGCCCUUGACUCUGGAAUAACAGUUGGAAACAGCUGCUAAUACUGGAUAUUCAUCGUCUCCUUCCUGGGGGGUGGUGGAAAGCUCCGGCGGUCAGGGAUGGGCUCGCGGCCUAUCAGCUUGUUGGUGAGGUAAUGGCUCACCAAGGCUUCGACGGGUAGCCGGCCUGAGAGGGGGACCGGCCACACUGGGACUGAGAUACGGCCCAGACUCCUACGGGAGGCAGCAGUGGGGAAUAUUGCACAAUGGGCGCAAGCCUGAUGCAGCAACGCCGCGUGCGGGAUGACGGCCUUCGGGUUGUAAACCGCUUUCAGUAGGGACGAAGGGUGACUGACGGUACCUACAGAAGAAGGACCGGCUAACUACGUG
Molecule: ribosomal RNA, 465 nt
Filed under: uncultured bacterium
Lineage: Bacteria
Description: partial 16S ribosomal RNA
Rfam family: Bacterial small subunit ribosomal RNA
Source: RNAcentral